UUAAAGAUAGGUUAAGAAAACCGCUGAGCUGUGGAUUCAGAGAUGUAAAUAUAUACUCUUUUUC
Molecule: transfer RNA, 64 nt
Filed under: Duplodicodrilus schmardae
Lineage: Eukaryota; Metazoa; Annelida; Clitellata; Crassiclitellata; Megascolecidae
Description: tRNA-His
Source: RNAcentral